GGAUGGUUCGCAUAGUGGUCUAGUGCGCAGUCCUGGAAAGACUGUAUGUUUGAAAGAGCAUCGAGGGUUCGAAUCCCUCACCAUCCG
Molecule: transfer RNA, 87 nt
Filed under: Candidatus Nomurabacteria bacterium RIFOXYB1_FULL_36_10
Lineage: Bacteria; Candidatus Nomuraibacteriota
Also listed under: 3 other names
Description: tRNA-Ser
Rfam family: tRNA
About the family: Transfer RNA (tRNA) molecules are approximately 80 nucleotides in length. Their secondary structure includes four short double-helical elements and three loops (D, anti-codon, and T loops). Further hydrogen bonds mediate the characteristic L-shaped molecular structure. tRNAs have two regions of fundamental functional importance: the anti-codon, which is responsible for specific mRNA codon recognition, and the 3' end, to which the tRNAs corresponding amino acid is attached (by aminoacyl-tRNA synthetases). tRNAs cope with the degeneracy of the genetic code in two manners: having more than one tRNA (with a specific anti-codon) for a particular amino acid; and 'wobble' base-pairing, i.e. permitting non-standard base-pairing at the 3rd anti-codon position.
Source: RNAcentral